GGUUUCAUAGUGUAGUGGUUAGUGUAGUGUCUGCUUUACAUGCAGAAAGUCCAGAGUUCAUUCCUCAGUGAAACCA
RNAcentral lists this transfer RNA (76 nucleotides) under Sarcophilus harrisii (Tasmanian devil). It matches the Rfam family "tRNA". Rfam says of the family: Transfer RNA (tRNA) molecules are approximately 80 nucleotides in length. Their secondary structure includes four short double-helical elements and three loops (D, anti-codon, and T loops). The record is from Rfam by way of RNAcentral. Lineage: Eukaryota; Metazoa; Chordata; Mammalia; Dasyuromorphia; Dasyuridae.